Molecule: ribosomal RNA, 426 nt
Filed under: uncultured bacterium
Lineage: Bacteria
Description: bacterial SSU rRNA
Rfam family: Bacterial small subunit ribosomal RNA
Source: RNAcentral
GUGAGGAAUUUUCCGCAAUGGGCGAAAGCCUGACGGAGCAAUGCCGCGUGAAGGAUGAAGGCCUAUGGGUUGUAAACUUCUUUUCUCAGAAAAGAAUUAUGACGGUAUCUGAGGAAUAAGCAUCGGCUAACUCUGUGCCAGCAGCCGCGGUAAGACAGAGGAUGCAAGCGUUAUCCGGAAUGAUUGGGCGUAAAGCGUCUGUAGGUUGUUUAAAAAGUAUGCUGUCAAAGAUUAGGGCUUAACCCUAGAUAGGCAGAAUAAACUUUUAAGCUAGAGUUUGGUAGAGGCAGAGGGAAUUCCCGGUGGAGCGGUGAAAUGCGUAGAUAUCGGGAGGAACACCAAAGGCGAAGGCACUCUGCUGGGCCAAUACUAACACUGAGAGACGAAAGCGAGGGGAGCAAAUGGGAUUAGAAACCCUUGUAGUCC